RNAcentral lists this ribosomal RNA (468 nucleotides) under uncultured bacterium. Its description in RNAcentral is "partial 16S ribosomal RNA". It matches the Rfam family "Bacterial small subunit ribosomal RNA", at positions 28 to 507 of the family's 1533-position model. The record is from RNAcentral.
GACGAACGCUGGCGGCGUGCUUAACACAUGCAAGUCGAACGGAAAGGCCCUGCUUUUGUGGGGUGCUCGAGUGGCGAACGGGUGAGUAACACGUGAGUAACCUGCCCUUGACUUUGGGAUAACUUCAGGAAACUGGGGCUAAUACCGGAUAGGAGCUCCUGCUGCAUGGUGGGGGUUGGAAAGUUUCGGCGGUUGGGGAUGGACUCGCGGCUUAUCAGCUUGUUGGUGGGGUAGUGGCUUACCAAGGCUUUGACGGGUAGCCGGCCUGAGAGGGUGACCGGCCACAUUGCGACUGAGAGACGGCCCAGACUCCUACGGGAGGCAGCAGUGGGGAAUAUUGCACAAUGGGCGGAAGCCUGAUGCAGCAACGCCGCGUGCGGGAUGACGGCCUUCGGGUUGUAAACCGCUUUCGCCUGUGACGAAGCGUGAGUGACGGUAAUGGGUAAAGAAGCACCGGCUAACUACGUG